GCAAGUCGAGCGGACUGAUUAAGACUUGCUCUUAUGACGUUAUCGGCGGACGGGUGAGUAACACGUGGGCAACCUGCCCUGCAGAUCGGUAUAACACCGAGAAAUCGGUUCUAAUACCGGAUAAUUUCUUAGACCUCAUGGUCUUAGAGUAAAAGAUGGCUCCGGCUAUCACUGCAGGAUGGGCCCGCGGCGCAUUAGCUAGUUGGUAAGGUAACGGCUUACCAAGGCGACGAUGCGUAGCCGACCUGAGAGGGUGAUC
RNAcentral lists this ribosomal RNA (259 nucleotides) under uncultured bacterium. Its description in RNAcentral is "partial 16S ribosomal RNA". It matches the Rfam family "Bacterial small subunit ribosomal RNA", at positions 57 to 305 of the family's 1533-position model. The record is from RNAcentral.